CAGCAGCCGCCGCGGUAAUACGAAGGGGGCUAGCGUUGCUCGGAAUCACUGGGCGUAAAGGGUGCGUAGGCGGGUUAUUAAGUCAGAGGUGAAAUCCUGGAGCUCAACUCCAGAACUGCCUUUGAUACUGAUAGUCUUGAGUAUGGGAGAGGUGGGUGGAACUGCGAGUGUAGAGGUGAAAUUCGUAGAUAUUCGCAAGAACACCAGUGGCGAAGGCGGCUCACUGGCCCAUAACUGACGCUGAGGCACGAAAGCGUGGGGAGCAAACAGGAUUAGAUACCCGUGUAGUCCCUGUCUCUUAUAC
Molecule: ribosomal RNA, 304 nt
Filed under: uncultured bacterium
Lineage: Bacteria
Description: partial 16S ribosomal RNA
Rfam family: Bacterial small subunit ribosomal RNA
Source: RNAcentral